AUCUACUCUGUCGUGGGGGAUAACGUAGGGAAACUUACGCUAAUACCGCAUACGACCUACGGGUGAAAGCAGGGGAUCUUCGGACCUUGCGCGAUUGAAUGAGCCGAUGUCGGAUUAGCUAGUUGGCGGGGUAAAGGCCCACCAAGGCGACGAUCCGUAGCUGGUCUGAGAGGAUGAUCAGCCACACUGGAACUGAGACACGGUCCAGACUCCUACGGGAGGCAGCAGUGGGGAAUAUUGGACAAUGGGCGCAAGCCUGAUCCAGCCAUACCGCGUGGGUGAAGAAGGCCUUCGGGUUGUAAAGCCCUUUUGUUGGGAAAGAAAUCCAGCUGGCUAAUACCCGGUUGGGAUGACGGUACCCAAAGAAUAAGCACCGGCUAACUUCGUGCCAGCAGCCGCGGUAAUACGAAGGGUGCAAGCGUUACUCGGAAUUACUGGGCGUAAAGCGUGCGUAGGUGGUCGUUUAAGUCCGUUGUGAAAGCCCUGGGCUCAACCUGGGAACUGCAGUGGAUACUGGGCGACUAGAGUGUGGUAGAGGGUAGCGGAAUUCCUGGUGUAGCAGUGAAAUGCGUAGAGAUCAGGAGGAACAUCCAUGGCGAAGGCAGCUACCUGGACCAACACUGACACUGAGGCACGAAAGC
RNAcentral lists this ribosomal RNA (641 nucleotides) under uncultured Pseudomonadota bacterium. RNAcentral describes it as "bacterial SSU rRNA". It matches the Rfam family "Bacterial small subunit ribosomal RNA", at positions 124 to 760 of the family's 1533-position model. The record is from RNAcentral. Lineage: Bacteria; Pseudomonadati; Pseudomonadota.